RNAcentral lists this ribosomal RNA (433 nucleotides) under uncultured bacterium. RNAcentral's name for it is "partial 16S ribosomal RNA". It matches the Rfam family "Bacterial small subunit ribosomal RNA", at positions 29 to 507 of the family's 1533-position model. The record is from RNAcentral.
AGCGAACGCUGGCGGCAGGCCUAACACAUGCAAGUCGAACGAACUCUUCGGAGUUAGUGGCGGACGGGUGAGUAACACGUGGGAACGUGCCUUUAGGUUCGGAAUAACUCAGGGAAACUUGUGCUAAUACCGAAUGUGCCCUUCGGGGGAAAGAUUUAUCGCCUUUAGAGCGGCCCGCGUCUGAUUAGCUAGUUGGUGAGGUAAAGGCUCACCAAGGCGACGAUCAGUAGCUGGUCUGAGAGGAUGAUCAGCCACAUUGGGACUGAGACACGGCCCAAACUCCUACGGGAGGCAGCAGUGGGGAAUCUUGCGCAAUGGGCGAAAGCCUGACGCAGCCAUGCCGCGUGAAUGAUGAAGGUCUUAGGAUUGUAAAAUUCUUUCACCGGGGACGAUAAUGACGGUACCCGGAGAAGAAGCCCCGGCUAACUCCGUG